This 848-nucleotide long non-coding RNA is filed under the name Helianthus annuus (common sunflower). Its description in RNAcentral is "sRNA HanXRQr2_Chr03g0102351". Lineage: Eukaryota; Viridiplantae; Streptophyta; Magnoliopsida; Asterales; Asteraceae. The record is from RNAcentral.
UAAUAGAGCUCGUUCGAUUGAAGCACCUGCAAAUGCAUCAUUUUCAAUUAUCGAUUUUAUUAACAGAUCGAAUGAGUAGAGUGUAGAUCUAAUUCGAAUACUUUGAUAAUGUGGAAAUUAAUUGAUUGCGAGAAUGAAUGAUGAUUUUUACCGGGGGUUGAAAGAGGUAGCAGCCGUCAAACCGAAAUAUCAGGGAAAAGGGAGAGAAAAUAAAGCGAAAGGGAUCCUUUUAUUCGUUCCGUCUAGGCGUCUAGCACAUACCAGAUAGAUAGAAGGUACCUAUUUUUUCAUUUCUAAUUUUUUCUUUUUACCGGCCACCAAAUCUUUCAAAUUGGUUACUGACGAAAUUUUUAUAUCGGGAUACACUCAUCUUUGAACCGGGGAAAACCCUCACCUGGGGCUAAAGCCCGUGAACACUUGCCCGAAGGCACGACAAUGCGAUGAAGUAGAACUCGCUCAGUAAGUGCCGCGGAAAAUAAUGAUAGGACAGGAAUCGAACUUAAGUCAGUUAGAAUAUCAGGUAAAGUGUAGGAUACAAAUCCCCUUAUCAUACAUUAUCUACACGAUGCCCACAACCAUACACGUGUCCUGAUUCAAUUUAAUUAGACAAGGGUAUAUCAGACAUUCUGUUCAAACAUCUGAGGGCUAAUCAGGGAAUUCCGUCAACAAGGAAGCAAAUCAGGGAAUUCCGUCAACAAGGAAGUAGAUUACGAAUUGGCGAUUUUCGAAAAUGAUGGAUUCGUCAUUUAGGAUGUUUGUUUUUGGUUUUUGUUUGGGUUUUAUUUGAAUUGAAGGUAUUUUCAUUUUAUUAGAUUGUAACCAGGUUGAAGAUAAGUUGUUUCUAGUUU